GGUAGGCAGCCAUGCAGGAAACCAUCAAACCAAGAAGGUAGUGUUGUUAUAUCACAGCCUGGGGGACUUUGGAGAGAGCCUUACACAGCUGCAGAGGAAUGGCAUGUGCGCGCCAGUCCCCAGCCCUACCCUGCGAGUACUGGAGCCCACAAUAACCUCUCUCUCUCUUGUUCACACAUACACCCACACACCCCUCUCAUACUCCCCACCACAGGAAGCCCAGCUGAAAUAAAUCAGCCACUAGCCCUUUCCUCCCCUCAGCUGAGGCUGUUCAUAUACAGGCUCCUACUCUGUCUACAGCUGCUGAAGGAUCCCUGUCCUGCUCCUCCCAGAAAAGACACAGCCACAGAAGCCAGUGAACUACUGCAGCUCCCCCAGGGGACAGCAGGUACGACAAUGAGAAGGUCCUUCUUACCUCAGAAGAGAGAAAAAUCAACUUCUGCAGCAUUGCCCCUGAAUAGUUGGCGAAGAGAGUGUUGCGCAACCAUUGUAUAAAGGAGGAUAUGACGUUCAAAAAGGCCUGUUGAUUAAUGAUGGAAGCACCUCAAUGUUCCUUGAAUCAGGCUUCGCCGCCACCCCCUAUAAUCAAGUAGCUCACAAAGAGACAUUAUACAGACAAAGCCAUGGGAACUGAAGAAACAAAUACACCAUUGGCACACCACCAGAACCAUGGCAGGAGAGCAGGACAAUGGGGAUAGCUACUGAUGAAGGUGAUCAGAACCAUAGUGCAAAAGAGGAGCAUGACGCCAGACCACUCAGCCAACUUUUGUUUAAGACUCUAGAACAGGGGUCGGCAACCUUUCAGAAGUGGUGUGCCGAGUCUUCAUUUAUUCAUUCUAAUUUAAGGUUUCGCGUGCCAGUAAUACAUUAACGUUUUUAGAAGGGCUCUUUCUAUAAAAGUCUAUAAUAUAUAACUAAACUAUUGUUGUAUGUAAAGUAAAUAAGGAUUUUAACAUUUUUAAGCUUCAUUUAAAAUUAAAUUAAAAUGCAGAGCUCCCCGGACUGGUGGGCAGGACCCGGGCAGUGUGCCACUGAAAAUUAGCUCGCAUGCCGCCUUCAGCAUACAUGCCAUAGAUUGCCUACCCCUCCUUUAGAACCUUAACAGGACACUUCAAAUGAUUCAAAACACAGCGGGGGUGGGGAGCAGUAGAGAGAGAAGUUGUGUGGCUAAAUGUUUAAGAGGCUGAAGUAGAACUGGUGGAGGGGAAUGGUACUAAGAACUAGCCAUGGUAGCUCAGCUGGUAUGUGUGUUUAAGGUCAAUGAAUUAAGACCAUCCCAAGGCAAACUUUUUCCUUUCAAUACAAUGAGCUGAAGGUGCCCCUUGAUGCACAAAAUAAAGGUAUUAAAGCAUGCCUUACGUGUACUUCCUAUUUUACAUUUCUUAGCAGCUGAGUGAUGGUUCUUCAGAGGCUUUGGAGAAUUUAGACACCAAUAGCCCUGAAGGAACAAAUGCAUUGGGCCCAGUCCUCUUUUGCCCAGACCUGAAACCAGAUGCUCAACAAUGCACAGAGAAAGAGAGAGGUGCUAAUUCUAUAGAUAUUUACUAUCUAACUUUGAGGACAGAAUUUAGUACUGAGCCUAUGCCAGUCCACAACUGCAAAACAAUUAUGUGCAUGAUUGAGUGAUCUGCCAUGCAUAGAAUUAUUAAGCACUAUUUGAGCCAGAAGCUGACAGAGUACUCCUAAGGUUGUGUCACAGAUUACCUACACCAGAGGAGCCCUAUCUGUGUCAACUGAACUGGAAAAAACAAGCAAAAGAAAUGUAUGUAAAUCUGUACCUGGAGAGUGUUUUAAAUAUUGCCACACUGGGAUAUGCUCUGCAGUGCUUCUGAUUAACCCAGGGAAAAGGCAUGAAAUGGAUAUUUAUUCAUUUAUUUGUAAUGCUUCCAAUAAGGAUUAAAACAAACAAACAAACAAAAAAACACAUUGUUUUUUUCCAAAAAGGCCAACGACACUAACAUGCACAUGUCCAAAAGGAUACCUAGGGGCCCUGGAAAGUGUGGAAGCGGGAGGGGAAACUUGUCAAAAAUAUGACUCAAAAUAUAGACUUAUUAAUACUCAGCAGGGCCGCCCAGAGGGGGGGGGCAAGUGGAGCAAUUUGCCCCAAGCUCCACAGGGGCCCCCAUGAGAAUUUUUCGGGGCCCCUGGAGCGGGGUCCUUCACUCGCUCCGGGGGCCCCGGGCCCCCGGAGCUUCUUCCGCUCCGGGCCUUCGGCUGCAAUUCGGCGGCGUGGUGGUGGUGGUCGGGGGGAGGCCCUUCCGCUCCGGGACCCGCCGCCGAAGUGCCCUGAAGACCCGCGGUGGGGGGUCCUUCCGCCCCAGGACCCACUGCCAAAGUGCUGGGUCUUCGGCGGCAAUUCAGCGGCGGGGGCCCCCCACCGCCAAAGACCCCAGGCCCGCUGAAUCCUCUGGGCAGCUCUGAUACUCAGGGAAGUUAAGGAGACAGUGUUCACCCAAGCUUGAAUUCAGAGCCCCUGUUUCUCUUUGAAGAGGUGGCUGGGAUCUCAUCCUUGGAAAGAGACAAAAGCUGACAACACCUUUAUUUUUUUGUAAGUUUAUUGUUUUUAAAUAUCAAUUUUGUAAAGUAAUUGUUGGACUCCAUUAACAUUCAGGUAAACAAGUGAAAAGACAAUGGAUGGGCAUGAUGUCUUAGCACAGGCACAGCCAAAGAGAGCAGGGAAUGGAGGCUGCAUGUGUUUUGGGGAAAGUCACCCAUCCCUCUCCCUCCCGUUCCUGUUUCAGCAGAAGCAAUGGUGGGAGCCUGGAGCCAACCUGGGAUGCCUGUACUGCUGGUCAUGAAAAGUACAAGGGAGGGGUAGGGAAGGGCAGUUGUGGGAUCACAGCACUGUACUUGCCCCUUUCACUCACUGCAGGAGCUUCGUCUGAUGGGGCGGAUGGCAGCAGUCAGUUAUCCCAUGGCUGGACCAUCUGACAGAUCAGAAAGCCAUUCCCUUAGGUUGGGGAACAAUGAGCUCUUUGGGAUAUUCUCAGUUGCUUUUUAGUACCAGUUUAGUUUCCCCACUCGUUAGCCACCACAGGCCUUUCUGAAUUUUAACCCUCUCAUCAUUUUGGAAUUCAUACUAGCUCCCCCACUACUGGGCACCUGCAGCAGCAACUGUUAUUGGCAAGAGCCAUUUGCCUUUACUUAGCUUGAUUCUGGAUGUCCCACUCCAGCCUGCCCAUUUCUCCUUCUCCUCCUCCAUCAUCCCAGAGGCCUGGCUCUGCCCAUGCUGUCAAAGCCUGGCUCAUUAAGCAUCCUGGUGUUAAGGUGAACUGGUUGUAAAUCGUAGAUCAUGGUCAUACUAUACACACUAUGAUUAACAUUAGAUUUUUUUUUCUUAAAAAUGAACAAAAAACAAAACAAAAAAACCAAGGCAGCUGUAGGAAGCAGUUAAACACACAGCUUUGUGGCAUGCUCCACAAUAUAAAAGAAUCCCAAGCAUUCAGUUCAGCUGGCAGCAGCUCUGUUUGACUUUCUAGCAUAGGUCUUCAAACCCAGCCCUGGUUAGUUCCCUGCUCCUCGCCUCCCCCAGUGAAAUGGGACUCUCCUCUUCUUCCUUUGCCUUAUGACUGUUUUCUCAAUGACUGGUUGUUUCCUCUGGGAAGAGGCUUCUCUUCAGAGGGAGUGUUUGUGCGUAUUUAUAGCCCAUGGCCCCUGAUCCUGCAGAGCCCUAUGCAGUGGACACCAAUCCUGUCUGCAAGGGGUCUCCAGGAUCAGGCCCUGGAUCUGCAUGCUUGCAUGUGUGUACACAUACAUAGGCAGGAUAGUCUCUUGGAAGGAACAUGAGUCCUGCGUUCUGCUUCUCUUCCUCCUCAUCUAGCUUAAGGACUGGUUAUUCAGAUACAGGGCAAUGGCCCUGGAUACUGAGCAGUUCUCAGGGAUAAUUUGGGGGGAGUCCACUCUCAAAUUUUCACACACCCCUGCCUCCAUUCUGCUUAGGCCUCCCCUUCUCAGGAGUUUAGGACAGAGACGACCAAAGGGGGUUGUUUUACUUAGCUGCUCCUCAACCCCUCAGUCCAUUCUUAUGCAUGGCAGCUCCUUCUCUCCCUCUCCUAGCCUGGCAGGCUGACAAACAAGCAACGGGACACGGGAAUACUCCUGUAAUAACCCUGAAGAGAAAUGGACAGGGCAUAAAUGCCACCCAGUGAAACCCAUCUUUCAGCUUCCUUCCGUGAGCUCCAGUACCACUCUGUGUCCUCAGGACUCUAUUCCCAAAUCACUGCCACCACACUCAAAAGCCAUUUCCCCAGCCUUCAGAGCUCCAAGUUCCAUCAGCAUCUCUUCCAUGCAGGCUUCUUCUCCAGGGCAGGAGGCUGCAGAGGUAGCUGACAACUACAAGGGCACCACCAGAGUUCAAAGUGAAUAGUUACUUUCUGUUAUGUAGUUCGGGGUUGGAUGGCAAAUUCCAGCAAUCCCAGGGCACUUUUUGACCAAAGACUUUGCUUCCGUGUUUUCCUCCCACACUUAUCAGGCUUCAGCCCAGCAUGCUUCUCAAUAGUCACUUCUUCCCACUUGCUACUGCAAAGGGCAAGUCUAGUACCUUAAAGCUACAUCUAAGAACGUGCCUGACCUGCACUUGCUUCUUUGGAGACCCAGCAAAUCUUCAAACAGAGCUCCAGCUACUGACACAAUAUCAACUGAAUACUGAACAA
This is a long non-coding RNA of Malaclemys terrapin pileata, 4652 nucleotides long. RefSeq lists it as uncharacterized. The transcript has 2 exons. NCBI's taxonomy places the organism in Eukaryota, Metazoa, Chordata, Testudines, Emydidae. The record is from RefSeq and is a predicted model, not a curated record.